This 292-nucleotide ribosomal RNA is filed under the name uncultured bacterium. RNAcentral describes it as "partial 16S ribosomal RNA". The record is from RNAcentral.
GGACUACUGGGGUAUCUAAUCCUGUUUGAUCCCCACGCUUUCGGGUCUGAGUGUCAGUGUCUGGCCAGCUACCCGCCUUCGCCUCCGGUAUUCCUCCUGAUAUCUACGUAUUUCACCACUACACCAGGAAUUCUAGUAGCCUCUCCAGCACUCAAGCUUCGCAGUAUCAAAUGCACUUCCAAGGUUAAGCCCUGGGCUUUCACACCUGACUUACAAAGCCACCUACACCCGCUUUACGCCCAAUGAUUCCGAACAACGCUAGGGUCCCUCGUCUUACCGCGGCUGCUGGCAC